This 250-nucleotide ribosomal RNA is filed under the name uncultured bacterium. RNAcentral's name for it is "partial 16S ribosomal RNA". It matches the Rfam family "Bacterial small subunit ribosomal RNA", at positions 524 to 773 of the family's 1533-position model. The record is from RNAcentral.
UACGUAGGGGGCAAGCGUUGUCCGGAUUUACUGGGUGUAAAGGGUGCUCAGGUGGAUUUGUUAGUCGGAGGUGAAACUCCGGAGCUUAACUCCGGAACUGCCUCCGAAACAGCAAGUCUUGAGUUUGGUAGAGGAUGAUGGAAUAUCUGGUGUAGCAGUGAAAUGCGUAGAGAUCGGGAAGAACAUCAGUGGCGAAGGCGACGUGCUGGGCUGCACCUGACGCUGAGAUGCGAAAGUGUGGGGAGCAAAC